Molecule: long non-coding RNA, 431 nt
Filed under: Phascolarctos cinereus (koala)
Lineage: Eukaryota; Metazoa; Chordata; Mammalia; Diprotodontia; Phascolarctidae
Description: lncRNA (ENSPCIG00000035227.1)
Source: RNAcentral
AUGGAAUCGUACUGGAAAAAGCCUCUUGCUUUCCUUUUUCUAUUGUUCCGUGAUGAAGUGUUUGUUUAAUGAAUGAAAUGCUGCCUUUUAAUGAUGGUCCAAAGCCAUUUGCAACUUGGAAGAGCUGUUCUCCUUCAUCAACACUUACGGUGAUUCAAACCAGGCGAGGUGAAGUUCUGUGCCCGAAAUUCACAUAUGUGCUGAUUGAAAAAGACUCUUGCUGGAACUAACCACAUUGUGUAUCAAUAAUUCGUUGAAGGGGUGAAGCCACAACAGAUGACCCUCUAAGGAAACAAACUGUGCUACCAGCCUUGGUCAGUGAUCUCACAUGUGUAUCUGUGUACUGGCCACUGUGGCAGUCAAGUAAGUUUGUUGGAUAUCUGGCAUUGACCUAUCUCAACUCCUGGUAAAAAAACUUGUGGGAUUUCUCA